This 5339-nucleotide long non-coding RNA is filed under the name Panax ginseng (ginseng). Its description in RNAcentral is "long non-coding RNA (PGIN_LNC014914)". Lineage: Eukaryota; Viridiplantae; Streptophyta; Magnoliopsida; Apiales; Araliaceae. The record is from RNAcentral.
UGGGUUUAAUUUUCAAUGGACAAUUCUCUCCAGAGGAAAAAGAAAAGUAGUUACUAUAUGUAUAUAUACAUCACAAUACUCUCACAUUUGAUGCAUUUUAAGUAUUUAAUAUAGAUAUUGCUUUCAUGGUUUCCAAUAAUAAUAAUGUUGUUUCGUUGACUUCCAAAUCACAUAAGGAAUGUUUGCACACGGUUUAUGUUUAAUAAUGUUGCAAUUCCAAAUCCGAGCCACAAAGGCUCUCAUGCUCUGAAAGACCUCUUAAUAUAUCGAUCUUGCACAUAUGCUGCAAAAGUUCCAUCUUGAACCAUAUCCCCACAGAACUAGCACGUCACUAGGCGUAAUGGGCAGUCCGAGGAUUGGUCUUUCUCCUAGCUGAGGAAAAAAAAGAAGAAUGGUAUGAGAAGAGUGCAUAAAAUGCAAUAAAUCUGCAGCAAUUUCUUAUGAGAAUAAAAUAUUAAAAGACACAUUUGAUUGAAAAUUUAACUACACAAAGGAAAGAACUAUGUUAAAUGUUAUGUAUGGAAUUCUAUUAGGAACUGCAACUGAGGAAAGAAAGUCAAAAUAUCAAUCUUGACUGCCAAUAAUUUUUUAGGUUUUAAGUCCAUAAUAUUUAUCAUAGGCAGUACUAACGAUGAAAAGUUCAUAGACAAAUGCCAAAAUCUGAGGCAUUAGAACAGUAACAAGACAACAAACAACACAGAUUAGCAAUGCAGCAAUAGACACUAUUUUUAGAAACAAUGAUUGAUGCCAACUUGGACACCUAAAUCAAAAAAACAAAUGAAAGGCCCAAAGAAACAUGCUACCAAACAAACCUCUAGAAACCAAUCUGCUUAGCAGCUUGCCAACAAUUAUAAUCCAAAGGAGGUCAAGUCUAAACUUUUUGAAACAAGACAAUACAACUACAUAUUAGGAACAAUUAUGAACAAUCCAAUUAUUACACAAAGAUAACAAGCAUAUAAAUUCUCUUCUGACAUACAUACAUUGUAACUGUGGAACUAAUUAACUUCACAAAACAACAUCAUUCUCAUUGGCAUUUUUGCUAAAGAUACAAUUUCAUUCAUACAAAUUUAAGAAAAAGAAUAGAUAAAUAAAAUAAAAAAUGUAUAAAUUACUGAUAUAAAUAAACAAAUAAUAACAUAAUUUCAUUCAUACAAAUUUAAGAAAAAUAAUAGAUAUUGUAAAACCAACCUUAAACGUGUAACAUGUCCAAUUAAUCAUUAAUUCAGCUCAUGGUAAAAGGUGUCAUCAAUCAAUUGAUCGACACGAGAGCAAGUAGAAAGAACUCUGAUCACAAACUCUUUAGGGGCCAGCCACACUCCUAUCAUUUCCUCCCCAAUUUGAGUUCUAGUAUUUCAUUUUAUCAUAAACUAUAAAGAAUAUGUGAAACCAAAUGAUAACCCAAUUCUCAGAAUAUAAUAUGUUUAUUUUACUUGAAAAAUACCAACUGAUUAAGCAAUAGAACAGUACCAAAAUGUAAUACUUGUCAAAACAAUGAGUCUAUCUUUGGUUGAAUAAGUAAACGGAUAAAUCCAUUCCUGGGCAUUACACACGUAAUUCUAAUUGAAGUAAACAAAUGUUACCUAUAUUCUUUUUUAUAAGGCCUAAAUAUAGAUUAAUACCCUAAACUUUGCAAUUAAUGCAAUUGAUCAUACACAUGCAUACACUUGUUAAGCAACUUACAACUUUAAGCUCAAACUUCAUGCAAUUAUAAGUUGGCNNNNNNNNNNNNNNNNNNNNNNNNNNNNNNNNNNNNNNNNNNNNNNNNNNNNNNNNNNNNNNNNNNNNNNNNNNNNNNNNNNNNNNNNNNNNNNNNNNNNAAAAGAGAGAGGAAAAAAAAGAGCUGAAAUUAAAACCCAUCACCAGAAGCUAUAAAUGAUCAAAACCCAUAAAGAUAAAGACAUUGUAACAAUCUAAGGAAAAAUUUAAUUUUAAAAAGGAAAAGGAAAACCUUAAUUAAAAAAAUUAAAACCCACUUAUAGAAACAGACACUUGUCAAACCCGAUAAAAGUAAAAUGUUUUAAAAUAAACCAAAAUUUAGUACCUAAAGGAAACAAAGCUAAACAACAAACGAAAAUAGAAAAACAAUAGUAUUUACCUGAGGCACCAGGAAGAGGAAUGCAUGUCUGGUGGGGAGAAGUGGCAAACGCCAUUUUAUCAAAACCUUUUUUCUAAAACAAAUUAACAAAAACACAAAUCUUUGCCUGUUAAUGCAAUUGUUUUAAACAAUUUCUCAUGUCAAAAGCAAUUAUUCUAAACAUUUAAGGAAGUUUUCAGAACUUCUUCUCACUCCCAGUCCCAGCUCAGCUAUACCCCUCAAUUACCACAUUAUUUUCUUAAAUGAGUAAAAAAUAUUCGAAUGAUAAGUAGCCUAGCAUUUUUAAUAGGACAAAUUACAUGCUGGAAUGUGCUGAGAGAUGCUAAGAUGGAGCCUCCAAUCCAAGCACUAUACUUUCUCUCCGUAAGUUCUUCAGAAACAGUAUCAGAGUUCAGAUUAAUUUGAACUACUAGCAGAUUGAAAGGUUUCAAAUAGGUAAAUUUAUUUUUUGGAUAAAGAUAGAUGGGUUCCCAAUUCACAGUUUUCAAUUCUUAACCUUAUAAUUCGAAAACUCAAUGACAAAUCCUUAUAAUUCGAAAACUCACCGACAAAUAUUCACGCUUAGCCGCGAUUAGAGGAAUCGCCGCUGAGAUUGAGAUUGUGUCGUUACAUAGAAAUCGUACAAGGAUUCGCCGCUGAGAUUGUGUAGUUGCAGGUAAAUCGCUGCUAGAAAAAUCGCCGUUGAAAUUGUGGUUUUUUGCUUUGCCUGAUGGGGGUAAUUAUUUCGUCCAAAAAUGAGUUUAAUCCUAUCCGUUUAGUUAUACCAGUGGACGAUGAGUUAUGAUUUUUAAUCACAAGUGUUCAUAAUUGAAUUAUAAGGUAGAGAUUAGAUUUAUAUUUUUAAUUUAGACUAUAAAAUAAUAUGAAUUUUCUAACAUGCGUUAUUAUACUCGCAUAUGCCACUGAUAUUAAAUUUCUACUUAACAUUAGCGAUAUAUUUGACAAAAAUUAAAUUUAUACCUAAAAAUUAUCAUUUUAAAAUUAUAUCUAGUUAUAAAAAAUGUAUACAUUAAUGAUAUCAAAUUAAUACUCUUUCAAUUUUAAAAUAAUUAUUUACUUUUUUUAAAAAAAAGUUAAUUUUCAAAAGCGACUAUUAUUAAUAAAUAUUUGUUACUACAUAAUUUUUUAAUGAAUUUGUUAAUUCUAAAAUAAAAAAUAUUUAAAUUAAUUUUUAAAAGUUAAUAAUAAUCUUAAAUUUAACAAAGAAAAUAUAAUAUAGCAACUAAAGUAUUUACUCUAUCAGUAUCCUACUUUAAUGAGAAGACCAGCUAUUUGUGUCUUCAAUUUUUUCUUUCUUUUUUUAAAGUUAAUUUUGAUUGCUAAAAUCUAUAACUUAAGAUUGAUACAAAUUCAUUUAAGUUUUGAUAUCAGCAAGUAUGAUAAGUAGUAGUGAGUUAUAGUAAAUUUUCUAUAUAGUUCAACUUCCUUAGUUUCAAAAUCAGACAUGUACAUUUUUGACUGUUUAAUUUAAUUCAAUUGAAAAUUUUAAAUUAAAAUUGAUGUUAAUUUAAUUUUUUACUUUCGUCCCAAAAUUAGAGAUAUAUUUUGACUUUUUAAAAUUACAUUAUAAAAUUUUAAAAUUCAAAAUUGAUAUGAAAUUAUUUAGUUUUAAUACAAGAAAUACAACAAUUGUAAAGUAAUUAUAAAUAAUUACUAAUUAUCAUAUUUGUUGUUUUUUAAACUUGAACAAAAUUAUAUCAAUUUUAAAAUUUAAAAUUUUGUAAAUUGAUUCUAAAAAAUCAAAUAUAAGGGAACGAGUAUUUGAUUUAAAUGUGAAGAACUACAACAAUGACAAACUUGGACAAGAUAACAUUAAACAAGUACCACUAAGCUCAAACCUUCACUGUGAAUGUAUUAUAGCUAGCAACUUUAUAUGAUAUUCAAAGUGCUACAAAAAGUGUUUUAUUUGUUAAUAAUUUUUUUAUAAGAGUAUAAAAUAACAUAAUAAAUUUAAAAAUAAUGUAUAAUUUAUGAUGUUUUUAAUAUGUGUAACGCCAAUGUUCUAUAGCAUUCCUACUCGCCCUAAUUAAUUAAGAUCUACCCCCCUAAUCAACUCGCUCUCUCAUAAAUGAGUUCCAAAAUUUAUAAUUAAGCCAUAUAGUACUACCUCCGUUUCAUAAUAAGUGAUUUUUUAGCUUAAAUCACACAUACCAAUACACAAGUUAAAAUGACAAAAAUACCCUUAAUAUACUUUAUUUGGAGUUAAAGAGUUAAUGAGUGUCAUUUAAUUAUAGUGAGUAAUGGAGGAAACGAAGAGUCAAGAAUAAUGGAGGAGGUAACCAAGUUAGUAGUUGGAACGCAAUAAAUACCAUUGGCUGCAUAAGAGCAUAUAUGGGAAAAUAUUGUAAAAAUUGUAUUGGAGUUCUAACACAUCACUUAUUUUAGAAAAAAAUAUUAAGCCUAAAAAAUCAUUUAUUGUGGAACGAAAGUAGUAUUUAUUAAUCAUUUUAUAGCCAUCGAUAACUUCAAUUUUUAUAAGUACAUUACAAUUACCCAGCUCAGAGUGUAGUACUUUUUUGAAUCAGUUCUUUGAGUAUGUCUCUACCUCCUCCUGAGCUAGCUAGUGUUCAUUUUGCAUUGCAUAUAAAGACUGAAUCAAUGAGCUUUUGUACUUCAUACUAACUCCUUUAUCAAAAUUCGUCCCUUCUUAAUUAAUUUGUACUUGUGGGCAAAAAUAAUAGUUUAAUAUUAAUGUUGAAAAAUUAUUUUAAAUAAUAAACAAUUCAGUAAUUAAAAAUUGUUUAUUAAUGAUUAAUUAGCAACUGCAACUGUGUGUUCAAUACCUUAGACUCAAAGACUUUUUGGAGCACAGAUAAAUUAAUUGGUACAAUAUGAACAAUUACACUAAUAUAAGUUUAGUAACACGAGAAUGAAAAUUGUCUUUAAACUACUACAAUUUCAGUAAAACGAGACUGAGAAUUGUUUAUAUAUAUAGAAGCUACAAUUAUACUAUUUCCUACCUUUUAGAGUUUCUGGCGAUGCAACCGGCAGGUAACUAAUUCUAAUCCUAAGAUGGAUAUUCUGAAGAGAGUUUUUGUUCUGUUGAGUUGUUGAUCGAUGAGUUCGUUGUUUAUUCUGAUUCUGAUGUAGCCUCUUCAUAUAUUUUUUUCUCUUGAUAACCGGUGUAAAUUAAACUUCAUGCCCAUGAUCCCUUUAACUUUCUGAAAAUGUUGAUAGUGGGGAUUAAAGAGAUAACUGCCUGCGAGUCGCUCACCACAAGAAAAAGCCUUAUUUUUGAUGGAAU